GAUGAAGAACGUAGCGAAAUGCGAUACUUGGUGUGAAUUGCAGAAUCCCGUGAACCAUCGAGUCUUUGAACGCAAGUUGCGCCCGAAGCCAUUAGGCCGAGGGCACGCCUGCCUGGGCGUCACACGUCGUUGCCCCCCCAUCUACUCCUUCGGGAUUGCGGGGGGCGGAUGAUGGCCUCUCGUGCGCCUCGUCGCGCGGUUGGCCUAAAUGCCAAGUCCUCGGCGACGCACGCCACGACAAUCGGUGGUUGCGAAACCUCGGUUGCCUGUCGUGUGCGGUCGUCGCGCAUCGAGGGCUCGAAAAAAUUGCCGGGCUUCGGCUCGACUUUCAACGCGACCCCAGGUCAGGCGGGGUUACCCGCUGAAUUUAAGCAUAUCAAUAAGCGGAA
This 389-nucleotide unclassified non-coding RNA is filed under the name soil metagenome. RNAcentral describes it as "partial contains 5.8S ribosomal RNA, internal transcribed spacer 2, and large subunit ribosomal RNA". The stretch from base 1 to 122 matches the Rfam family "5.8S ribosomal RNA", at positions 35 to 154 of the family's 154-position model. The record is from RNAcentral.